Molecule: long non-coding RNA, 6007 nt
Organism: Brassica rapa (field mustard)
Lineage: Eukaryota; Viridiplantae; Streptophyta; Magnoliopsida; Brassicales; Brassicaceae
Source: RefSeq, a predicted model, not a curated record
AAAAAGAAAAUUCGUUAAUUUUGAAAUAAUUCUAAUGUAAAUAUAUUAAUCUAAAUAAUUAAAUGUAAUAUAGUUAAAAUUAAUAUCAAACAUAUGAUUAAACCAACACAAGGGUAUUUCGGUAAUUUGUUUACUAAACUCAUUUGAAUGGAAAUGAAAAUAAAGAAACAAACAUAAAAUCCAUUUAGAUAAUUCAUCUAGAUGAGUCAUGUGGAUGGACAAACAAACAAUCACAAAAAUGGGAAUGGAUCAUCUGAAUAGAUCAUACAAAUAAAUCAUUUAACUAACACAAGGUUAUUUUGGUAAUUUGUUUACUAAACUUAUUUGAAUGAAAAUGAAAAUAAAGAAACAAACAUAAAAUCCAUUUAGAUAAUUCAUCUAGAUGAGUCAUAUGGAUGGACAAACAAACAAUCACAAAAAUGGGAAUGGAUCAUCUGAAUAGAUCAUACAAAUGAAUCAUUUGGAUGGAUAUGACAAAUGGUAAAACAAACAGCCCCAUAUAUAUACUGGUGUUGCCGUGCUACGCAAGGAAAUUUUUUUUCUUACAAAUAAAAUUUAGUUAUAUAUACAUAUAAUUUACAUGUACGCAAUGUUUUUAAACCCGACCCGGACACUGAACCGGACGAUUUACCGGGUCGUUGGGUCACUGGGUCGACCGCGGGUGAACCGCGGGUUAAUAAAUGAAUUAAUAUAUAAUAAUAUAUUAGCUAUGAAAAUAAAUAUAUAAAAACUAAAGUUUAAUACUUUCUAAAUGUUUUUUAAAACAUAAAAUAAUAGUUUGGAUAUGUAUAUACUUUAUGUUUAAAAAGUAUUUAACAAAAACUUAACUUUAGUUUUUAUAUUUUUAUUUUCAUUUGGCAUGCAAAAUAUCAAAAAAAAUAGUUUAGACUAUUUAAAAUUUUCUGUAACAAAUUAAGAGUUAUGACAUCUAAAAAAAUCAAGAUAUAAAACUCACAAAUAUUUAAACAUCUAAUGUGAAUAAUAAAUUAACUUCAAAUUCAAAAUAAACUAAAAUUAAAAGAUCAUUGUAAUAAAUUGUCAAUAACAGAAAUAAACAAACACCAAAUCACAUCAAUUAAUUUUGAUUCUCUCUAUCAUCGUUCAAUUUAUUUUUUUAGGUGGCAUAGUGAAAAAUCUUCAUCAAAAUCUAAAAUCACAAAUAUAAAAAUGAAAAUGGAAAACCUAACUUCUUUGUUUUUGUCAGCACCUUAGUUUUUAAUUGAAAACUUAGAAUAUAAAACAUAAUCUAAAAACUAAAAAAUGAGUAAAAAUUAUUUAUUGGUUCAACCGAUGGUUCAACCGGUAUCGGGUUCCGGGUUUUAGUGGGUUUUUGCGGGUUUUUACGGGUUUCUAAAUAUUGGGUUUUUCAUAAAACCCAAACCGAAUUUUUUCUGUGUCACCGGGUUUACCGGUUCAACCGCGGGUCCGGGUCGGGUUUCAAAACAUUGCAUGUACGUAAAACUUAGCCAAAAUAAAAUAAAAUUAAACGUACAAAGUAUUAACACAUUUAUGACUGAUUAACCAUUGACAUAAAAAUUAAGUUGUUUAUUUUUUUUAUUUAUAUAAAUUACAUUGUACAAUACAAAUAUUUUUGUAAAGACCUCAAUACAAAUAUUAGUUUCAAGCUUUCUUUUUUCCUUUUUUUUUUCUUGCUAAUUUUUUCUAUUGAAUGCAAGAAUUUACAAAACAUACAACAGUUUGCUAGCCUAUUCUUAGCUUCCAGGGUAAUAACCGAAGCAGAGGAGACGAGCACAAAAGUAAAAGAAGCUCAAAAACCGCUUAGAAUGAGCUAAACCCAACCGCCUCAAGAUGCGCACAUGAACUGAGACAAGAUAGUGCGCUGAAGGUACCCGCUCAUACCACCUGCACUAAGCCAAUCCUUGAGAGGACAGAAGAAGCUACCAACGCACAGAGACCAAGUAACCGAAGACCAAAGACCCGAUCAACCUCUAAAUGGCUCAAACCCCUUUGGUUUAAAUAAGAACAUCAAACCCACAUUACGCAAUAAAGUUUUCUUGAGAAGAGUACCUUGACAGUCAACAUAACAGCUCGAGAGGAGAAUGCACAAGGAUAUAAUGAUGCAACAGAAGUGUAGACCUGAGGAGGAUCAAGAUGUUGGUGGUGAGAGAAGAAGCACAUGCCGCAAUCACUAAUCUGAACCUAUCAGAUCGGCAAGGGAAAGAAGCACAGACACUGACUAGGUCACUAACUAGGACCCAAGGCAGCACAACCGAGAAUCAUCCAAAGCAAGAACCGAGGAGCAACGAUGUCAGAUAAGCCGGAGAGAGACAAGGGAAGCCUUUGACAGAAACAGAACACAUCCACAAGGAUAAGGCGGCAAGGAAAGAGGCACAGACCAUCCCGACGGCAAGGGAAGAGCACAGAUCAGGCUUGCUAUGUGGAGAGACUGACUACAGAAACACUCAUCUCAACCAAACUUUCAGAACCAGGACCAACGCAUAUCUCAAGCUCUACCGGAGAAGAUAGCACCAUUGUAAAUCAGAGCCAAAAACACAGUCGACAUUACGACACAUGAGAGAAGGAAAAAAAAAAGAAAAGAUGGGAAGAGAAGGACAUACGGCGAAGACGCCGAAGCCCAUCUCCUCCCAGGCAGAAUCGAUGACGACGGCUACUAGGGUUUGUAGAUGAGGAAGAGAGACACUAGAGAGAGUUUCUAAACCCUCUCUCUCUCUCCCGUGAUUUUUUCACAAGCUUUCUUGAUUACUUAUUUCUGUCUUGCCCUUCCAGUCUUCUUGUAUUCUCCCUAAUUCGUAACAUGUUUAUGAGCAAAUUAUCUUUAGCUUCUGACGACGUCUAGUAUUUCAUUCAACAUUUAGUUUUAAAUUUAAACAGUUAGACAAAUCCAAUCAAAACACUAAAACAGUAAAGGAAAAUCAGCAUGUAAGCCCUUUUACAAAAAAAAAAAUCAGCAUGCAACACAUAAACAUCAUUCUAUCAAAGUAACACAAAAGUUAAGAAUGAAAAACAAUUGGAGUAGUAAUCAAAAUUACUUUACACGUAAGUUUGAAAAUACAUCGGAUGUGACUAAAACAUCAAACAUCUGUUAAAUACUCUAAUCAAAAUGGCAUUGUGAAAGACAUAGGUUCUUAAUUGACACAUCAGUUAAAUUUUUCCAGAUUUAUCGACACUUAGAUAUUCACAAAGGCAUAUUAUUAAAACAGGAUAUCCAGAGUGCCUGGAUUCAAAUCCAGAUAGUAAAAUGUCGGAUCCGUCAAAUCCGGAUCCACAUAUCUUGAUUUUUAAGUUCAGAUAUCCGGAUCCGGAUUUUUAAAUAUAAUAAAAUUUAAAUUUUAUUAAUAAUAUAUUAAUAUUUUUGCUUAAAAUUAGUUUAUAUUAUUAUAUAUUUAUAAUUUUAUUUAUUUAUAUAUUGUUUUAGAUUUUUUAUUAAUAUUUAAUUUAAAUAUUAUUUUUAAAAUUUUAGUAUUAAAGAAUAUUUUGUUUUCAUUAAAAAAAAUUACGGAUAUGAAUCCUGAUGCGGAUACACUAAUUUUGGAUUUCCGGAUCCAUCCCACCGGAUCCAUCCCACCCUUAGCGGUCAGUCAUUAAAUGGAAAUUCAUCGUUAUACUAAGUAAAAGUUAUAAAAUAUAUUGUUAUACUGACAAGGUAAGUAGGUACACAACUAUAGUUUAUAUAUAUAAAAGAGUUUGCCUACAGUUACUUUUAAAAGGCUUUUUGCCUACAGUUACUACAAACCCAACGCACCGGUCCAUUCUUGAUGCACCACUCCUAGACUACCAUCGACCAUUGAUAGAUUUUGCCACAAGAAAUGUUUUUAGAAUUGUACCAAAAACAAAUAAUGAUAAACUCUAUCAUGAAUCUCUAGUUUUCAAAUGUUUUGCUGACAAAAAAAUUGAUAGCAACUUUACAAUUUUUAGAAUGGCAUCUACACAAAUAUCAAUAUUGACUUGUAUUCCGUAUUCGUAUACACAAAAUGUCAGUGUAGAAUACAAAACAGGAAAUUAAGAUUCUAACGUUGGCUUCUGGAAUUAUUCAGAAAACCCACGCAAAACCAUGCAGUUACAACAAAGAAAGUACAAUAAAACCUACUGGACAAAAGAUCAUGUAUGUUACAUUCUCUAAGCUCCUUAUUCCCUAAAUUCGGGCUCGGUUCAACUUCAAAUUUCCCGCAUGUUUUAUACAUAAUGAAGAAUAUAUAAAUAUAUGGCCACUCCCUAAGAAAGCCCACUGCAAAAAAGAGAGAGAGGAAAAAACAUAUAUACCAUGUAGUAUAUUUAAAUAUGCAUUUUACCAAAAAAAAAAAAAAUUAAAUAUGCAUUUUGGUUUUUGAUUAAUGUGAUUGAGUUAGAGAAGAAGCACUAGCAAAAGACAUAGUGAGAAUAGAGUCAAAUGUCCCCUUGACUUCCCUUAAACAAUUCAUGGUUCAUAAUUAGUUUUUUUAAUAUAGUUUUCACUUUGCACGUGUUUAUAGGAAUCUAAUAAAAAAAUUCCACGUUUUGAUAAGAAUCUAAUAUAAAACUUUCCCGCUAAAAAGAGAAGAAUCGAAAAGCUGCAUGAUAUAUAUGGUGGCUAUUGGACAACAGAUAAGUACGAAUGGCAAGAGUCACAUGUCCGUUGCUCUUCAAUAAUACCUACAAAUAGUACCUUCUCCUCAUGAGAAACAAAAAAGGAUUCCACAACUUUUUAUCUUCUAUUUUUUUUUAUCUUCUAUUUUUUACAUCAAAAAGAUCAUUCCAUUACUCAACACACGAGGUGGUCUAGGAAGCUUGGUUAAAUAUUCAUAUGUUCAAACUCAAAAGCUAAAAUUCACAUUAAAUAACUCUGACACCUACUUUCUUCGUUAUUUAUAAUGUAAUUUCAGUCCGUCUUAGUUAGUAUAUAAUAUAUAUGAAAACAAACUCAAAUUAUAUAAACAUGAAAUGUUGAGUUUUCUUGAAUACAGCUACAUAAGCAACAAAUCAUAAUAUUAUUUAUGAAAUACAUAUAUAGGAUUAUACAUUACAAAGAGGGAAUUCUGCUUUUACCUCAUUUAUUGUACCACUUUUAAUUUAAUGUUUACUUUUAAUAAAGAGACAUUUUUACAAAUACAUAAAGUAUGAAAUUUCAUUCAAGAGGUAAAAGAUCAUUUUAUCUUUACUUUAUAGAUAUAUAAAUAUAAAUAAUUAUUUAUAUAAAUAAUAAAAAUAAAAUAUUUUAUAGUUUUUAAAUUAUACGUAUUUGAAUUCAAACUUUUUGUAAGUUAUUCCUUGUUUGGAUUUUCUUUUUUUUUGAAAACUUCUAUGAAUAUUUUUUUAAACUUAUUUUGAAAUUCAAAAAUUCCUUUUGAAAAAAUAUUUUAAAUUUUACAUAUUUAUUUAUUUAUUUUUUAAAAUCCUAAAUCCUACCCUCUAAAAUCAUCCCUCAAAUCUAAACUAUAAGUUUGAAUUAGUUAACCCUAGCGAUAUAAAUGUUUAUUUCCUCUUCAAAAUUAAACAUAAAUAUGGUUAACAUAAACAUAAAAAAAGGUAUUAAAAAUAUGAUAGUUUAAGCAAUUUCUCCAAUACAAACGUACAAAUAUAAUGCCCAAUUGGGAUCGUAAAUAGUAAUUAAUAUUGGGGGCUAGUCUUGUGCUGACAAAAUUGAUACAAAUUGGACUGAUUAAGAUAAGGUCCGUAAGGUACUAAGGUAGUAGUAAAUUAAUUAACUAAAACCUAAGGAAGAAAAUAAAAGAGUUAUUAUUGAGUUCACCUCCUAGGGUGAACCUACAACCAAUAGAAAAUCGUUAUUUUAUAUUCAGUAUCUUUUAAAAAAGGAAACAAAAUAUUAUCAAUUUAUAUCAUGAAUUUAUAUUUAAAAAAAAAGUAAAAAUAAAUAAAAAUAGUAUUAGGUGCAAAAAUAAAUAAAUUAUUUUUAACGCCGUCAGCAAAACAAUAAACCUUAAACCCUCGUGUAAACUCUAAAUCCUUAGGUAAACCAUAAAACCUUAGAUAAAUCUUAAACCCUAAAUCAAAAACACUAAACAUUAAAUCUUGAAAACACUAAACCCAA